CCUACGGGGGGCAGCAGUGGGGAAUAUUGGGCAAUGGGCGCAAGCCUGACCCAGCAACGCCGCGUGAAGGAAGAAGGCUUUCGGGUUGUAAACUUCUUUUGUCAGGCAGAGUAAAAGCCGGUACCUGACGAAUAAGCCCCGGCUAACUACGUGCCAGCAGCCGCGGUAAUACGUAGGUGGCAAGCGUUGUCCGGAUUUACGGGGUGUAAAGGGCGUGUAGCCGGGUUGACAAGUCAGAUGUGAAAUCCUGCGGCUUAACCGCAGAACUGCAUUUGAAACUGUUGACCUUGAGUACUGGAGAGGCAGACGGAAGUCCUAGUGUAGCGGUGAAAUGCGUAGAUAUUAGGAGGAACACCAGUGGCGAAGGCGGUCUGCUGGACAGCAACUGACGGUGAGGCGCGAAAGCGUGGGGAGCAAACAGGAUUAGAUACCCGAGUAGUC
RNAcentral lists this ribosomal RNA (441 nucleotides) under uncultured bacterium. RNAcentral's name for it is "partial 16S ribosomal RNA". It matches the Rfam family "Bacterial small subunit ribosomal RNA", at positions 338 to 795 of the family's 1533-position model. The record is from RNAcentral.